Molecule: ribosomal RNA, 539 nt
Filed under: Salmonella enterica
Lineage: Bacteria; Pseudomonadati; Pseudomonadota; Gammaproteobacteria; Enterobacterales; Enterobacteriaceae
Description: bacterial SSU rRNA
Rfam family: Bacterial small subunit ribosomal RNA
Source: RNAcentral
ACCCCGGGAAACCGGAGCUAAUACCGGAUAUGACACCAACCUGCAUGGGUAUGGUGUGGAAAGUUUUUCGGUCUGGGAUGGACUCGCGGCCUAUCAGCUUGUUGGUGAGGUAAUGGCUCACCAAGGCGACGACGGGUAGCCGGCCUGAGAGGGCGACCGGCCACACUGGGACUGAGACACGGCCCAGACUCCUACGGGAGGCAGCAGUGGGGAAUAUUGCACAAUGGGCGAAAGCCUGAUGCAGCGACGCCGCGUGAGGGAUGACGGCCUUCGGGUUGUAAACCUCUUUCAGCAGGGAAGAAGCGCAAGUGACGGUACCUGCAGAAGAAGCACCGGCUAACUACGUGCCAGCAGCCGCGGUAAUACGUAGGGUGCGAGCGUUGUCCGGAAUUAUUGGGCGUAAAGAGCUUGUAGGCGGUUUGUCGCGUCUGCCGUGAAAAUUCGAGGCUCAACCUCGAACUUGCGGUGGGUACGGGCAGACUAGAGUGUGGUAGGGGAGACUGGAAUUCCUGGUGUAGCGGUGAAAUGCGCAGAUAUCA